GGAUGUGAGGGCGAUCUGGCUGCGACAUCUGUCACCCCAUUGAUCGCCAGGGUUGAUUCGGCUGAUCUGGCUGGCUAGGCGGGUGUCCCCUUCCUCCCUCACCGCUCCAUGUGCGUCCCUCCCGAAGCUGCGCGCUCGGUCGAAGAGGACGACUAUCCCCGAUAGAGGAGGACCGUUCUUCGGUCAAGGGUAUACGAGUAGCUGCGCUCCCCUGCUAGAACCUCCAAACAAGCUCUCAAAGAAAUGGUCUCUAAACUGAGGAGAACACCCACAGAGUGGGAGAAAACAUUUGCCAACUAUACAUCAGACAAAGGACUGAUAACCAGAAUAUAUAG
RNAcentral lists this small nuclear RNA (335 nucleotides) under Castor canadensis (American beaver). RNAcentral's name for it is "7SK RNA (ENSCCNG00000021180.1)". It matches the Rfam family "7SK RNA". Rfam says of the family: 7SK was discovered as an abundant small nuclear RNA in the mid-70s but a possible function has only recently been suggested. Two independent studies have found that 7SK RNA binds the CDK9/cyclin T complex (known as elongation factor P-TEFb). P-TEFb activates transcription by phosphorylating the C-terminal domain of RNA polymerase II. The record is from RNAcentral. Lineage: Eukaryota; Metazoa; Chordata; Mammalia; Rodentia; Castoridae.